Molecule: ribosomal RNA, 468 nt
Filed under: uncultured bacterium
Lineage: Bacteria
Description: partial 16S ribosomal RNA
Rfam family: Bacterial small subunit ribosomal RNA
Source: RNAcentral
GACGAACGCUGGCGGCGUGCUUAACACAUGCAAGUCGAACGGAAAGGCCCUGCUGUUGUGGGGUGCUCGAGUGGCGAACGGGUGAGUAACACGUGAGUAACCUGCCCUUGACUUUGGGAUAACUUCAGGAAACUGGGGCUAAUACCGGAUAGGAGCUCCUGCUUCAUGGUGGGGGUGGGAAAGUUUCGGCGGUUGGGGAUGGACUCGCGGCUUAUCAGCUUGUUGGUGGGGUAGUGGCUUACCAAGGCUUUGACGGGUAGCCGGCCUGAGAGGGUGACCGGCCACAUUGGGACUGAGAUACGGCCCAGACUCCUACGGGAGGCAGCAGUGGGGAAUAUUGCACAAUGGGCGGAAGCCUGAUGCAGCAACGCCGCGUGCGGGAUGACGGCCUUCGGGUUGUAAACCGCUUUCGCCUGUGACGAAGCGUGAGUGACGGUAAUGGGUAAAGAAGCACCGGCUAACUACGUG